Molecule: non-coding RNA, 225 nt
Filed under: Triticum urartu
Lineage: Eukaryota; Viridiplantae; Streptophyta; Magnoliopsida; Poales; Poaceae
Description: Bacterial large subunit ribosomal RNA
Rfam family: Bacterial large subunit ribosomal RNA
Source: Rfam by way of RNAcentral
CCGGGCGACUGUUUACCAAAAACACAGGUCUCCGCAAAGUCAUAAGACCAUGUAUGGGGGCUGACGCCUGCCCAGUGCCGGAAGGUCAAGGAAGUUGGUGAACUGAUGACAGGGAAGCCGGCGACCGAAGCCCCGGUGAACGGCGGCCGUAACUAUAACGGUCCUAAGGUAGCGAAAUUCCUUGUCGGGUAAGUUCCGACCCGCACGAAAGGCGUAACGAUCUGG